RNAcentral lists this ribosomal RNA (253 nucleotides) under uncultured bacterium. Its description in RNAcentral is "partial 16S ribosomal RNA". It matches the Rfam family "Bacterial small subunit ribosomal RNA", at positions 524 to 776 of the family's 1533-position model. The record is from RNAcentral.
UACGGAGGGUGCAAGCGUUACUCGGAAUUACUGGGCGUAAAGCGCGUGUAGGUGGUCUUAUAAGUCUGGUGUGAAAUCCCGGGGCUCAACCCCGGAAGUGCAUUGGAUACUGUAAGACUGGAGUGCAGGAGAGGAUGGCGGAAUUCCAGGUGUAGAGGUGAAAUUCGUAGAUAUCUGGAGGAACAUCGGAGGCGAAGGCGGCCAUCUGGACUGCAACUGACACUGAGACGCGAAAGCGUGGGGAGCAAACAGG